UACGAAGGGGGCUAGCGUUGUUCGGAAUCACUGGGCGUAAAGCGCACGUAGGCGGAUCGUUAAGUCGAGGGUGAAAUCCCAGGGCUCAACCCUGGAACUGCCUUCGAUACUAGCGAUCUUCGAGUCCGGGAGAGGUGAGUGGAACUCCGAGUGUAGAGGUGAAAUUCGUAGAUAUUCGGAAGAACACCAGUGGCGAAGGCGGCUCACUGGCCCGGUACUGACGCUGAGGUGCGAAAGCGUGGGGAGCAAACA
Molecule: ribosomal RNA, 252 nt
Filed under: uncultured prokaryote
Description: partial 16S ribosomal RNA
Rfam family: Bacterial small subunit ribosomal RNA
Source: RNAcentral